Molecule: non-coding RNA, 44 nt
Filed under: Mytilus edulis (blue mussel)
Lineage: Eukaryota; Metazoa; Mollusca; Bivalvia; Mytilida; Mytilidae
Also listed under: 1 other name
Source: RNAcentral
AAGUCACUGACGAGUCUUGUGUAGACGAAACGCGCGUCUGGCGU